GAUGGACCCUUGCCCUCUGGCUAUCUGGCUUUGAGUUACAGGAAAAGAAGAGGUUCACCCAGCACCUUGCGACAGGGCAAUGCACAUGUCCCUGUUUCACAGGCCAUGUGACCAGCACUGAGGGAACUGGCAUGGACGCCGGUAGCAGAGCUGCAGCAUGGCAGACGCUCAGGAAGCUCCUAUGGGGAGUAGACGUCAUGGCAGGAUACCCCUUGGACUGUGCCCCCGCUUUCCGGUUUCCCGCCCCCUCUCCCCUUUGGAAUGGUGGGUCCUCCUCAUCUUUGAGGACUUGGUUUAAAUGUUCUGCUUCCAAGAGGUCUACUUCAGCUACCGUGGCAAAGGAGCAGUCCUCUCCACUGCAUUAUUCUCUCUCAGAGUAUCCUGCUUUUUCCUCCCCUGACUGAACACCACGGGUGAUUAGGUAUUUACUUGUCACUGUCUUCCCCCUGGAUCACACCCACCACACAGGCAGGGACUCCGUACAUCAGCUUCAUCCCCUGUGAUGUUCAUGGACAAGCACAAUGCCUAGAGCCCGAGGUGCUCAGGAAAUACCUGUUGCCUGCAAGAGUGACAUUUGAGGAAAGUCUCAUUUAGCAAAUGUGUUUGUUGGCCAGUUGAAUCAGAGCUCUUAUUUUAUGUACCAGGGAGAAAAAUCUAUAGAUUCCAUAGGUUUGGCAGAGAGCUGGAUGUCUUUGAGGAGGAAGGGUUUUCAUUAAAACAUACAACCACAACAAAGCAAGAAAAACAGAGCAACUGAUGUAAGCAUGCCAACCAAGCCUGCAUGUGAAGCAAUGGAAUAAAAAGAAGUAAAAAUUUAUGAACAAUUGCAGUAGGACCCUGCAUAAACAUGACCCGCUAUUAUGCAUAAUUCAAUGCAUGGCAUUUUAGUGUUGGACUCUGUCCAACAUGAUUUAUUACUAGAUGAAAAAGGAGAAUCUUGUUAAAACACAGCUUUACCUAAAACAUGGUCCCAGACAGGGAUCUGGAGAACAAUGUCCCAGGGAGGCUCCAGUUUAGUUCUAAGACAGGGACAGAGUUCUCAUUUCAUCCUCUGUUCAACUUCUUGCUUUGAACAAAUGAGUAGCCUGGAUUAUUCUCCUUUUUAAAACCAAUUGUUUUGUUUGGUGAAGAUGAAAAGAGCCGUGUCAGCUCUAAUACAGGAGAAAAAAAGUUUUUAAGGUAAAUAUCCUUGGGUAUAUAGUGGCUGCUUUUUUAUUUAAAUUUAAACUGAGGAGUAUAUAAUUUGAAUUAUAGAAAUUAGAGGCUACAAAUCAGAAAUAUCCUCAAAUUUCCUUAAACGAUUAAAAAUGAUCUUUCUUCACUUUGACAGAAUUUUAUUUGAGGAAAGACAGGGGUAGGAAAGGGAGGAGGGGGAGGGUGAAGGGAGAUAUGAUCAGAAAAUACAGACUGAAUUUUGAAUGUUGGCUCAUGCAAUUAGUGUCCUGUCUUUUCUUAAGCAACCACCAACAGAACCAGAAAGUUAGCAUGUCUUUAGAAAUUGCUUCUCCCCACACCCCUCACCCCCACCUUCCACUGGCCCAUGAAAGUCAAGUUGCCUGGAAAAAUACAUUCUGAUACUGAAAACAAUAUUCUGGUUGGACUGUGGCUUAUUCUUGAAGCUGCCAUGCAGGAGUCUUUUGCAGGAGCUUUAAAAUUCUACAGAUCAGGUACUUUGUGGUUUAUAGAAUAUGAAAAAUAAAG
This is a long non-coding RNA of Mustela putorius furo (domestic ferret), 1701 nucleotides long. The record is from Ensembl. Lineage: Eukaryota; Metazoa; Chordata; Mammalia; Carnivora; Mustelidae.